Molecule: ribosomal RNA, 260 nt
Filed under: uncultured Enterococcaceae bacterium
Lineage: Bacteria; Bacillati; Bacillota; Bacilli; Lactobacillales; Enterococcaceae
Description: partial 16S ribosomal RNA
Rfam family: Bacterial small subunit ribosomal RNA
Source: RNAcentral
UACGUAGGUGGCAAGCGUUGUCCGGAUUUAUUGGGCGUAAAGCGAGCGCAGGCGGUUUCUUAAGUCUGAUGUGAAAGCCCCCGGCUCAACCGGGGAGGGUCAUUGGAAACUGGGAGACUUGAGUGCAGAAGAGGAGAGUGGAAUUCCAUGUGUAGCGGUGAAAUGCGUAGAUAUAUGGAGGAACACCAGUGGCGAAGGCGGCUCUCUNGGUCUGUAACUGACGCUGAGGCUCGAAAGCGUGGGGAGCAAACAGGAUUAGA